GUGGCAGCUAAAGGGGAGUGAGAAAUUUGGAAAGGAUCUUUAAGUCAGUAUAUUUCCCUGACUUCAGCAGGACAAAGAACCUGCCCCAGAGUUAGAUUUGCAGGUUUUAAGAAAAAGGAGGGGAGAUGGUAAAAGUUGGGAAUGAAGAACAGUUUGUUAUACAUUGAAAAGGGGAGAAAACAGAUACAAGGUGCUCUGUAUUUCUUUAUAUAUAUGUUACGAUGCCAAGCUUAAUCAUUUACAUGUCUUAAAAUGCUUCAGAAUAGAGUUGAAAACUUAAAAUUAGAAGUAGUUCAGCAAUGUUUGUUUUGUAGGCCAAUAGCUGAUGUAAGCCCAUAGCCAAGUGAGGAUUUCAGGGAGAGAUUUUUGUUUAUAUAUUUUUUUAUUAUUUAUUUUUUUUUAAAUAGCAGUACAUUGCUGUAGAAAAUAAUCUAAUUCUUAAGAUCAUGGGCUGGUUUAUGUUGGAAGGGACCUUGCAGAUGAUUUAGUACCAAUGUGUGUGCCUGUGGGUGACAAGUAAAUGCCAGAUGUCAGUGAAGAGUCAGGAAUUUCUCCUUGCUAUGGAGAGUUAUGAUGUAGCAGAGAGAGGAGACUUGGCUUCAAAACCACAGGUGUCAUCAAGUGCAGUUCUUUACUAGCUCUGCCAGAACUCGGGAUCUGGAAUAACCUGGAAAGUGGAUAAGAGACAGAAUUCUUCUUUCCACCCUGGGGACCUGGCUUGAUUGCUGGAGCUGCCUCCUCGUGGUCUAGCCAAAGAUAGCAGAUGAUUUUUAAUAGCCACACCUCUUUAGGAUUGUUAUUUUUUUUGUCUCCUCCAAUAAAGGCUAGAAGAAAUGUGGUUCUGUUUCCGAAAAAUACGGCCGGCAUGGAAACGAGAACUGCUUUCUGUGGUAUCGAGUGCAGGGGAGCAGUUAUGGGAUUCUGAGGGAAUGUAGGGCUGGACAAGGCCCGGUGCCACUGGAAUCUAGCACUGCCUUGACUUUGU
Molecule: long non-coding RNA, 985 nt
Filed under: Parus major (Great Tit)
Lineage: Eukaryota; Metazoa; Chordata; Aves; Passeriformes; Paridae
Description: lncRNA (ENSPMJG00000000884.1)
Source: RNAcentral